This 28-nucleotide ribosomal RNA is filed under the name Plantago lanceolata (narrow-leaved plantain). RNAcentral's name for it is "partial 26S ribosomal RNA". Lineage: Eukaryota; Viridiplantae; Streptophyta; Magnoliopsida; Lamiales; Plantaginaceae. The record is from RNAcentral.
CGACCGCGACCCCAGGUCAGACGGACUA